Long non-coding RNA from Centropristis striata (black sea bass), 249 nucleotides. RefSeq lists it as uncharacterized. The transcript has 4 exons. Lineage: Eukaryota; Metazoa; Chordata; Actinopteri; Perciformes; Serranidae. The record is from RefSeq and is a predicted model, not a curated record.
CGGCGAGUCAAGCGUGAAUAUCAAUCUCCCUACAUCAGUGUCAUCAGAUGACUUUGACUGAGUUGAGGCGGGCUCAUUAGAGCGCUGGAGCAGGGUGCCGCAGGCCGCAAUAACAUCCAGGUGGAGGGCUCUGAAGCUGCCUGGCUUACCUGUAUCUCCAGCUUCAUCAACCUCCUGAUGAAACCCAUACUGGCCCUUCUACUGAUAAGAUUAUUCAAAGGCCUUUUUGGAGCGUAUGCCAGGUCUCAC